UUCUCAGUGGUCCAACGGUCAAGACUCGUGCCUGUCAAAUUAAUUUGCUCGCACGCAACCGGGGUUCGACUCCCCGCUGGGAAG
Molecule: transfer RNA, 84 nt
Organism: Rhizoctonia solani
Lineage: Eukaryota; Fungi; Basidiomycota; Agaricomycetes; Cantharellales; Ceratobasidiaceae
Rfam family: tRNA
About the family: Transfer RNA (tRNA) molecules are approximately 80 nucleotides in length. Their secondary structure includes four short double-helical elements and three loops (D, anti-codon, and T loops).
Source: Rfam